UGGGGAAUUUUGGACAAUGGGGGAAACCCUGAUCCAGCCAUCCCGCGUGUGCGAUGAAGGCCUUCGGGUUGUAAAGCACUUUUGGCAGGAAAGAAACGUCAUGGGUUAAUACCCCGUGAAACUGACGGUACCUGCAGAAUAAGCACCGGCUAACUACGUGCCAGCAGCCGCGGUAAUACGUAGGGUGCAAGCGUUAAUCGGAAUUACUGGGCGUAAAGCGUUCGCAGGCGGUUCGGAAAGAAAGAUGUGAAAUCCCAGAGCUCAACUUUGGAACUGCAUUUUUAACUACCGGGCUAGAGGGUGUCAGAGGGAGGUGGAAUUCCGCGUGUAGCAGUGAAAUGCGUAGAUAUGCGGAGGAACACCGAUGGCGAAGGCAGCCUCCUGGGAUAACACUGACGCUCAUGCACGAAAGCGUGGGGAGCAAACAGG
Molecule: ribosomal RNA, 429 nt
Filed under: Acidobacteriota bacterium
Lineage: Bacteria; Pseudomonadati; Acidobacteriota
Description: Acidobacteria bacterium partial 16S ribosomal RNA
Rfam family: Bacterial small subunit ribosomal RNA
Source: RNAcentral